GGAGGGGUGUCCGAGUGGCUUAAGGAGCUCGCUUGGAAAGCGAGUGUUGCGUUUUGGCGUACCGUGGGUUCGAAUCCCACCCCUUCCG
Molecule: transfer RNA, 88 nt
Filed under: Candidatus Anoxychlamydiales bacterium
Lineage: Bacteria; Pseudomonadati; Chlamydiota; Chlamydiia; Candidatus Anoxychlamydiales
Also listed under: 1 other name
Description: tRNA-Ser
Rfam family: tRNA
About the family: Transfer RNA (tRNA) molecules are approximately 80 nucleotides in length. Their secondary structure includes four short double-helical elements and three loops (D, anti-codon, and T loops).
Source: RNAcentral